GAAACCUCACCUUGCCACACGCCAUCCGGGCGCCAGAGCAGUAAAACACGGACAUUCCCGUCCGGGUGAGGAGAAAGG
The submitters of this non-coding RNA (78 nucleotides) gave its source as unclassified sequences. The record is from Rfam.